Molecule: ribosomal RNA, 254 nt
Filed under: uncultured bacterium
Lineage: Bacteria
Description: partial 16S ribosomal RNA
Rfam family: Bacterial small subunit ribosomal RNA
Source: RNAcentral
UACGUAGGUGGCAAGCGUUGUCCGGAUUUAUUGGGCGUAAAGAGCCCGUAGGCGGCUUAGUAAGUCGGGUGUGAAACCUCCAGGCUCAACCUGGAGACGCCACCCGAUACUGCUGUGGCUAGAGUCCGGUAGGGGAGCGUGGAAUUCCUGGUGUAGCGGUGAAAUGCGCAGAUAUCAGGAGGAACACCAGCGGCGAAGGCGGCGCUCUGGGCCGGUACUGACGCUGAGGAGCGAAAGCGUGGGGAGCAAACAGG